This is a long non-coding RNA of Hyla sarda, 348 nucleotides long. RefSeq lists it as uncharacterized. Lineage: Eukaryota; Metazoa; Chordata; Amphibia; Anura; Hylidae. The transcript is spliced from 3 exons. The record is from RefSeq and is a predicted model, not a curated record.
UGAUGAUGUCACAGUGAGGGGGCAAAAUUAUUUAGAAGUUCUAGAAGUUUCUUCAUACAACCUGGCUGGGAAGCAUCAUGUGACCACGUUAUGGAGGCGUGAUUAAAGCCCAAGUAGACUGCAAUAGCAGAUGAUGGCUUCUCGCCCAGAGGACUACAUAUGGGCAGAUUGCACCGGUACAUCUGCCACAUCGAACUCUAUGGAAUUCUUUAUUGCUCGGAUUUUUUGGAGCCGGAGUCUUUCUGUAGGGACGGAGCCGACACAUCAAGGCGUCAGGAAUAAACUGAGAGCAAUCCUCACGUGGAUCCUACCAGCUGUCAUCCAUUUCCUCAUAUUAAAGAUAUUCCC